RNAcentral lists this ribosomal RNA (478 nucleotides) under Diplonychus esakii. Its description in RNAcentral is "partial 16S ribosomal RNA". It matches the Rfam family "Bacterial large subunit ribosomal RNA", at positions 1796 to 2541 of the family's 2925-position model. The record is from RNAcentral. Lineage: Eukaryota; Metazoa; Arthropoda; Insecta; Hemiptera; Belostomatidae.
UCGCCUGUUUUUACAAAAACAUGUCCUUUUGAUUUUUUAUAUAAGGUCUAACCUGCCCUAUGAUUUUUUUAAAUGGCCGCGGUAUCCUAACCGUGCAAAGGUAGCAUAGUCAUUUGUCUUUUAAUUGGAGGCUUGAAUGAAGGGUUGGACGAGAUAUAAGCUUUCUUUAUUAUAAUAAGUUGAAUUUGACUUUUGAGUCAAAAGGCUUAAAUUUUUUUAUAGGACGAGAAGACCCUAUAGAAUUUUAUAGAUUUUGGUAAUUAAAUUAUUUAUUUAUUUUUUAUUUAUUUUUUAAAAUUUAUUUUAUUGGGGCGAUAGGAAGAUUUUUUUAACUCUUUUUUUUAUUUUUCAUUGAUUUAUGUUUUAUUUUGAUCCUUUUUUAGAGAUUAUAAGAUUAAAUUACCUUAGGGAUAACAGCGUAAUUCUUUUGGAGAGUCCUUAUCGAUAAAAGAGUUUGCGACCUCGAUGUGGAUUAAAA